This 515-nucleotide ribosomal RNA is filed under the name uncultured bacterium. Its description in RNAcentral is "partial 16S ribosomal RNA". It matches the Rfam family "Bacterial small subunit ribosomal RNA", at positions 28 to 523 of the family's 1533-position model. The record is from RNAcentral.
GAUGAACGCUGGCGGCGUGCCUAAUACAUGCAAGUCGAGCGAAUGGAUUAAGAGCUUGCUCUUAUGAAGUUAGCGGCGGACGGGUGAGUAACACGUGGGUAACCUGCCCAUAAGACUGGGAUAACUCCGGGAAACCGGGGCUAAUACCGGAUAACAUUUUGAACCGCAUGGUUCGAAAUUGAAAGGCGGCUUCGGCUGUCACUUAUGGAUGGAACCGCGUCGCAUUAGCUAGUUGGUGAGGUAACGGCACACCAAGGCAACGAUGCGGAGCCGACCUGAGAGGGUGAUCGGCCACACUGGGACUGAGACACGGCCCAGACUCCUACGGGAGGCAGCAGUAGGGAAUCUUCCGCAAUGGACGAAAGUCUGACGGAGCAACGCCGCGUGAGUGAUGAAGGCUUUCGGGUCGUAAAACUCUGUUGUUAGGGAAGAACAAGUGCUAGUUGAAUAAGCUGGCACCUUGACGGUACCUAACCAGAAAGCCACGGCUAACUACGUGCCAGCCGCCGCAGUAA